UUUCCGUAGGUGAACCUGCGGAAGGAUCAUUAUUGAAUGAAACACUUCUGGCUUUAUGCUGUUGUGCUGGCCCUUUGGGCAAUGUGCACACGGCUCUGGUCACUUGUUUCUUCUGUUCCAUCUGUGCACUGCCUGUAGACACGCUGUGUCUAUGAUAUUUGUUAACACACAACAACGUUAGUUGGCAUGUUAUAUAUAAUAAUAAAAUAUACAACUUUCAACAACAGAUCUCUUGGCUCUCGCAUCGAUGAAGAACGUAGC
RNAcentral lists this unclassified non-coding RNA (261 nucleotides) under plant metagenome. RNAcentral's name for it is "partial contains small subunit ribosomal RNA, internal transcribed spacer 1, and 5.8S ribosomal RNA". The stretch from base 213 to 261 matches the Rfam family "5.8S ribosomal RNA", at positions 1 to 49 of the family's 154-position model. The record is from RNAcentral.